Long non-coding RNA from Taeniopygia guttata (zebra finch), 2249 nucleotides. RefSeq lists it as uncharacterized. The record is from RefSeq and is a predicted model, not a curated record. NCBI's taxonomy places the organism in Eukaryota, Metazoa, Chordata, Aves, Passeriformes, Estrildidae.
GCAUGACUGGCUGUUCCCCGCCGGCGGCGGGCGCUCCGCUCCUUCCACGGGCCCGCGGAGCUGUCCCUCAGCGCGGGGUGUGGAGGGGCGGUGGCAGCACGGGCGCGGUUGCGGCGGAGUCCGGAGGCGGCGCUGACAGGACGGCGCGCGGAGGCGCUGCGGGCCGCGGCUGUCGCCCCCGGCCCGGAGCAGCCCGCAGCAGCCCGGCCGUGCUGAGCUCUGCCCGGCCCGGAGCAGCCGGACCCGGAGCAGCUCGGCCGUGCUGAGCCCGGCCCGGCCCGGCCCGGCCCGGCCCGAGGUGUGCACUUUCAUCAGUUUUCGACUGCACGGUGUCACCGGUAUUUGUCCCCGGCUUCAUUAUAGCGAUCGCUCUGGAGCACUGCAUUUCUUUCUCCACUCGAAAGCUCUUCUGUCAUAAUCCUCUGACAAUCCCCCUUGUUCGGGGAGUGAGGAAGAAGCAGAAGUUUUAGCCAUCUUCCCAUGGCAUCUGACUUUUUUGAAGAGGAGGACUUUUCAACCACUUGAUGGAAGGGAAAUAAGAAGUUUGUUUCAAGGCUCUUAUGUCAUUCAUCAGUGCUGUUAACAAACGUGGGGCUUAAGGAUACAUUUGCUGCUUCUCUGCAUUUUUGCUGAAGAUUGCACCCAAGAGAGAAACAGUGAGAUGCACAGUGGGGAAAAUGAACCCAGCAGUCCAUCCUAUCCUGUACCUGCCUGAGUAUGGGAAGAGACAUAGUACAAGCCAGAAUGCAGCUGGGCUUGCAGUAUUUUUAACCAUAUUAAGUCCUGUUCAGAGUUAAUGAUGAGCUCAGUGACAUGGUCUCAGCAGUGCUGAAGAAGGGAAGGACAGAACUGGAAGGCAGGAGCUGUUUCAAAGCAGGAUUUUUCAUCUUUCUGUAAUGCCCAAGCAUGAAGACUUUAUAAACUUCAUUAGAUCCUGCCAUCAAUGACUGAUCCUCCCUGAAAUCUUAUCAGUUACUGCCAAGAUGAGAAGGAUAACAGGAAGGAGGAGUGCUUAAGUGGCUUUAAUGACAGUUAAUUUCUUCUAUUUAUCAAAUGACAGGUUGUUUUUUCCUCAAAACUCGAUUGUCAUGACAAGAUGCUUUUGGAAGUUAUCUUUGUAAAAUAAAACUGACAAUUUUUAGGCUACAAAGAGCUAUUGUAUCUUUCUAUUGAAUGUUGUCAUUAUGGUAAACUGCUGGAAAGUCUUUAUUUUUGAAGUAAUUUAACUUGCAUACUUCAUUCAUUUAUUUUAAUAUCUGUUGAAUGCCAUGUGAAAAGUUGUUUGCCAGAAUUCUUUUAUUCAAUGGAAUAGUUAUUGUUACAAUACUCAAUUUAUUAAUGUCUAAAUUACUGUUGCCCUAGCCUCCUGCAAAAAUGUUUUUUAGUAAUUCUUAAACAAAUAAGGAAUGAAUGAGGUUUUGUUCCCUUUGUGUUUUGAUCAGCGUAUUUUCCCUUUCAAUGAAAGUGUCUUCAGUUUUUGGAAUGACACAACACAAAGAAAGGUGUUUUGGUUUUUGGUUGUUUUUUUUUUUCAACAGCACAUGUCUUUUGUGCAAUGAUUUUUUAAUAUGUACAGUGCCAAGAUACAAUUACUGGAAGAAGAGAGAAGCUGUUGGGAAUGUCAUGUUAUGCCAAAUUAAGAAUUAUUAGCUCCUACUUUCUGUGCAAUCUCUUCGACUAGAACUCGACCUAUUGCGUCUGGCGUAUACUUUGACUCUAGUGGAACUAAUGUGUCCUUGGAGUAGCAUUUCAGAGUAACUUCAGAUUCAUGCUUUUUUCACAAGUCUGCUUUAAACUGCUGGGAUUAACUUCAGAGAAGGCGAGAGAUACAGGCUCCUUUGUCAGCAGCUGUGCUGGUUAAAGAAGGAGGCUUCAUGCACGCUCCUUGUUCAUUCUCUCCCUGCUAGGGAAGCAAACUGAACUGUUUCCCUGAGCACACGCAGACUGACUUCAGCCAAAGUUAAUGGUGUUAUCAAAUAUUAGUUAUCCAGUGCCCUGGGUCGCUCUGAUGAAAGGACAGGGCAUCCACAGGCAGCUGUGCAGACGUCAUGUCUGGGAAGGGUGGUGUGUUGACAGGAGUGUUGCUGAGGACUGGCCCUGGUGUGUCGCCUUUUCAGCAGGUGCAGUUACAUCCCUUGGAUGUGGUAGAAAUUGGACGUGUUAGAAAGCUGUGCAGAUCUGUCAUGCAUAAUAUUCACAUUCCAGAGACACCCUGGAUAAUGCAAAAUAAACCUGUGCUCUUUGACUUA